AGAUGACGUUUUGCUCUUGUUGCCCAGGCUGAAGUGCAGUGGCAGGAUCACGGCUCACUGCAGCCUCAAUCUCCCAGGCUCAGGCGAUCCUCCCACCUCAGCCUCCUGAGUAACUGGGACUACAGGCACGCACUACCACGCCCAGCUAAUUUUUGUUUUUUUAUCUUACGUGGAGACAGGUUUUGCCGUGUUCCCCAGGCUGGUCUCAAACUCCUGGGCGCAAAUGAUCGACCUGCCUCCGCCUCCCCAAGUGUUGGGAUUACAGGUGAGCCACUGUGCCCAAGCUAUUUCACUAUUUCAUCAGCGCACUUAAAUGCCUAUUUUUUUAAGUGGCUACAGGGCAACAAGACUAUCCCUGUGCCAAAUACCAGAUUCUAAAGAAAAUCUACCCACGUAACAAACCUGCACGUGGAUCCCCUGAAUCUAAAAUAAAAGUUGAAAUUAUGAAUAAAUAAAGC
RNAcentral lists this non-coding RNA (458 nucleotides) under Pongo abelii (Sumatran orangutan). Lineage: Eukaryota; Metazoa; Chordata; Mammalia; Primates; Hominidae. The record is from RNAcentral.